UACGGGGGGAGCAAGCGUUGUUCGGAUUUACUGGGCGUAAAGGGCGCGUAGGCGGUCGUGACAAGUCACUUGUGAAAUCUCCGAGCUUAACUCGGAAAGGUCAACUGAAACUGUGCGACUAGAGUGCGGAAGGGGCAACUGGAAUUCUUGGUGUAGCGGUGAAAUGCGUAGAUAUCAAGAGGAACACCUGAGGUGAAGACGGGUUGCUGGGCCGACACUGACGCUGACAGCGCGAAAGCCAGGGGAGCAAACGGG
This 255-nucleotide ribosomal RNA is filed under the name uncultured bacterium. RNAcentral describes it as "partial 16S ribosomal RNA". It matches the Rfam family "Bacterial small subunit ribosomal RNA", at positions 524 to 776 of the family's 1533-position model. The record is from RNAcentral.